Molecule: long non-coding RNA, 308 nt
Filed under: Nicotiana benthamiana
Lineage: Eukaryota; Viridiplantae; Streptophyta; Magnoliopsida; Solanales; Solanaceae
Description: long non-coding RNA (NBEN_LNC023830)
Source: RNAcentral
CCAGAUCUUCUGCCCAAGCUGCUAGUUCCUUUUGCCUUUUCUUGGGAUCCUGAUUCACAAUUCAUGAGAACUGAUUCAGAAAAUCCAAUGCUCUAUUGUGAAAUGCAAAGGUACAGCUAUAAAAUCAUUACAUUCAUUGAAUCCAACGGAAUAUCAAUGUGAAAUGCAAAGGUAUAGCUAUAAAAUCAUUACAUUCAUUGAAUCCAACGGAAUAUCAACAGUGGCAUCAUUCUUUUGGCCAAAACCAAGAGUGCUAGCAAUCAUUUGAGGAAAGCGUGAUUUAGUUGCACGAGCAGAUCCACCAUUCU